CACGUAGUUAGCCGGAGCUUCCUCCUCUGCUACCGUCAUCAUCUUCACAGAGGACAGAGGUUUACAAUCCGAAAACCGUCUUCCCUCACGCGGCGUUGCUGGUUCAGGGUUUCCCCCAUUGACCAAUAUCCCUUACUGCUGCCUCCCGUAGGAGUCUGGGCCGCGUCUCAGUCCCAAUGUGGCCGUCCAACCUCUCAGUCCGGCUACCGAUCGUCGGCUUGGUCGGGCCGUUACCCCACCAACUACCUAAUCGGACGCGAGCCCAUCUUUCAGCGGAUUGCUCCUUUGAUUAUCCUACCAUGCGAUAAGAUAAUGUCAUGCGGUAUUAGCGUUCGUUUCCAAACGUUAUCCCCCUCUGAAAGGCAGGUUGCUCACGUCGUUACUCACCCGUCCGCACCUAAGAUAUCCAAGAUUACACUUACCGAAGUUACUUCAUCAGCGAAUAUCUCCGUUCGACUUGCUAUGUAUUAGGCACGCCGCCAGUCCGU
This 488-nucleotide ribosomal RNA is filed under the name uncultured Oscillospiraceae bacterium. RNAcentral's name for it is "partial 16S ribosomal RNA". Lineage: Bacteria; Bacillati; Bacillota; Clostridia; Eubacteriales; Oscillospiraceae. The record is from RNAcentral.